GGUGAGUGCCCUGCACUUUCUCCUUCAGACCCAGGAUCAGUAUGGGGUAUGCAUAGUUAAUGUUCAGCAGGAGUUGCAGGGGUACUGGGAGCUGCUAGAGGAUCUGCACAACAAAGUGACCCUGCAGCCAGAAAAGUGUCAGGGCAUUGAGGAUCCUCACACUGUCCUCACUGACACUGAGGGCUUGUACACAAAACUGGGUCUGUUUCAGCGUAGGAUUCAUGAGUGUCAGGUGCACCUGAGCACAAGUACACAUCUUCUUGAGGAACUGGAAAAUAGGCAGCAGGAUCUGGCUCAGACUAUCGGCCUAACACUGGAGUCUACUUGGACUAAAGACCUUUUGCAGUGUAACACCCAACAGGGUUGCGAGGAGCCUGAAGCCUAUCUCAGGGGACUCGGGACAUGAGUCAAGGGACACUGUGGAUGGGUUAAAAUUUUGCAGUAAAGGUAGAAAGGGUUCUGACAUGAUUGUCACGUUUCGUGAGGCUCAUGCUCCACAGCGCGCUGCAUAAAGGGGAACUCGUGACAGAACCCCCCCCAAGGGCACUCCUCCCGGAGUGCCAUGAAACAUCCAUCUCCAUUGGCGGCCCCGGCUCCCUGGGCAGAAUGUCCGAAGGAGAGCCUGGAGACCGCACGGCGUUCUUGGAAACAACAAGGCAGAGCGACUUACAUGGCAGAGCAGGGAAGCAGAG
Molecule: long non-coding RNA, 692 nt
Organism: Ictalurus punctatus (channel catfish)
Lineage: Eukaryota; Metazoa; Chordata; Actinopteri; Siluriformes; Ictaluridae
Source: Ensembl